RNAcentral lists this ribosomal RNA (253 nucleotides) under uncultured bacterium. Its description in RNAcentral is "partial 16S ribosomal RNA". It matches the Rfam family "Bacterial small subunit ribosomal RNA", at positions 524 to 776 of the family's 1533-position model. The record is from RNAcentral.
UACGAAGGGGGCUAGCGUUGUUCGGAUUUACUGGGCGUAAAGGGCGCGUAGGCGGGUUAUCAAGUUGGAGGUGAAAGCCCAGGGCUCAACCUUGGAAUUGCCUUCAAAACUGAUAGCCUAGAGUAUGAUAGAGGUAAGUGGAACUCCGAGUGUAGAGGUGAAAUUCGUAGAUAUUCGGAAGAACACCAGUGGCGAAGGCGACUUACUGGAUCAUGACUGACGCUGAGGCUCGAAAGCGUGGGGAGCAAACAGG